GAUGAAGAACGUAGCGAAAUGCGAUAAGUAAUGUGAAUUGCAGAACUCAGUGAAUCAUCGAAUCUUUGAACGCACAUUGCGCCCCCUGGUAUUCCGGGGGGCAUGCCUGUUCGAGCGUCAUUUCACCACUCAAGCCUCGCUUGGUAUUGGGCAACGCGGUCCGCCGCGUGCCUCAAAUCGUCCGGCUGGGUCUUCUGUCCCCUAAGCGUUGUGGAAACUAUUCGCUAAAGGGUGUUCGGGAGGCUACGCCGUAAAACAACCCCAUUUCUAAGGUUGACCUCGGAUCAGGUAGGGAUACCCGCUGAACUUAAGCAUAUCAAUAAGCGGAGGA
This 331-nucleotide unclassified non-coding RNA is filed under the name soil metagenome. Its description in RNAcentral is "partial contains 5.8S ribosomal RNA, internal transcribed spacer 2, and large subunit ribosomal RNA". The stretch from base 1 to 120 matches the Rfam family "5.8S ribosomal RNA", at positions 35 to 154 of the family's 154-position model. The record is from RNAcentral.